Molecule: ribosomal RNA, 468 nt
Filed under: uncultured bacterium
Lineage: Bacteria
Description: partial 16S ribosomal RNA
Rfam family: Bacterial small subunit ribosomal RNA
Source: RNAcentral
GACGAACGCUGGCGGCGUGCUUAACACAUGCAAGUCGAACGGAAAGGCCCUGCUUUUGUGGGGUGCUCGAGUGGCGAACGGGUGAGUAACACGUGAGUAACCUGCCCUUGACUUUGGGAUAACUUCAGGAAACUGGGGCUAAUACCGGAUAGGAGCUCCUGCUGCAUGGUGGGGGUAGGAAAGUUUCGGCGGUUGGGGAUGGACUCGCGGCUUAUCAGCUUGUUGGGGGGGUAGUGGCUUACCAAGGCUUUGACGGGUAGCCGGCCUGAGAGGGUGACCGGCCACAUUGGGACUGAGAUACGGCCCAGACUCCUACGGGAGGCAGCAGUGGGGAAUAUUGCACAAUGGGCGGAAGCCUGAUGCAGCAACGCCGCGUGCGGGAUGACGGCCUUCGGGUUGUAAACCGCUUUCGCCUGUGACGAAGCGUGAGUGACGGUAAUGGGUAAAGAAGCACCGGCUAACUACGUG